Molecule: ribosomal RNA, 497 nt
Filed under: uncultured bacterium
Lineage: Bacteria
Description: partial 16S ribosomal RNA
Rfam family: Bacterial small subunit ribosomal RNA
Source: RNAcentral
GAUGAACGCUGGCGGCGUGCCUAAUACAUGCAAGUCGAGCGAACAGAUAAGGAGCUUGCUCCUUUGACGUUAGCGGCGGACGGGUGAGUAACACGUGGGUAACCUACCUAUAAGACUGGGAUAACUUCGGGAAACCGGAGCUAAUACCGGAUAACAUUUGGAACCGCAUGGUUCUAAAGUGAAAGAUGGUUUUGCUAUCACUUAUAGAUGGACCCGCGCCGUAUUAGCUAGUUGGUAAGGUAACGGCUUACCAAGGCAACGAUACGUAGCCGACCUGAGAGGGUGAUCGGCCACACUGGAACUGAGACACGGUCCAGACUCCUACGGGAGGCAGCAGUAGGGAAUCUUCCGCAAUGGGCGAAAGCCUGACGGAGCAACACCGCGUGAGUGAUGAAGGGUUUCGGCUCGUAAAACUCUGUUAUUAGGGAAGAACAAAUGUGUAAGUAACUGUGCACGUCUUGACGGUACCUAAUCAGAAAGCCACGGCUAACUACGUG